This 5325-nucleotide long non-coding RNA is filed under the name Triticum aestivum (bread wheat). RNAcentral describes it as "long non-coding RNA (TAES_LNC021987)". The record is from RNAcentral. Lineage: Eukaryota; Viridiplantae; Streptophyta; Magnoliopsida; Poales; Poaceae.
CUACAAAACUGAAUAUAUUUCUGCAGAAAAGGGAAGACACUGUGACGACACAUACAUGAACUGGAAUUACGUAAAUUCAGUGCAAGUGACAAGCAUACAUGUACCACACGGUUGACAAAUAUAACAUUCACGAACUUAUUUUAUAUAGAUGCAUCAACUAGUCAGAUCCCAGAAAACAAACACUAUAUUAUACAAGUACUAAACAGAGCAAACAGCUGUUUACAUGUACUCUUCAAAUCUGAACCUUACAAGUCUUGAACAUCUCUCAAUACUAUAGAAUUUCAGAGAGAGAGAGAGAGAGAGAGAAGGCAACAGCAGGAGGUUGAGAGAGAAGAAGCAGUAGCAGGGGGCGUUGAGAGGAGGGAGAAGGAGCAGCGGGGCAAAGGAAGAUGGAGUAGCAGCAACGACUUGGAGUUUGGAGAUGGAGAAGGAGCAGAACAACAGCGUGGUAGGGGAAAGUAGAAGAGCAGCAGCAAUAGGGAUUCAGAGAGGAGGCGAGCUUGGAGAAGGAUAGCAGCAGGGAGAGUUGUAGAUGAGCAGCAGCAGUAGCGCGGGGGAGAAGGAGCAGCAGACAGGGAUUCAGAGAAGCGAGGAAGAAGGGAAGAAGAAGCAGCGGCGGUGUGUCUGGCCGGGCACGCCAACUGGAGGGAGAGGUCGCGCAAGGUGGGCACUGGUGGUUGGCGCUGUGAUGGAUGGAUGAUGGUGUGGGUGGUGGAUGGCGCGGGUGAUGGUGGAGCAACGAGGUCGCCGAAGCGCGUCGCCACGAUGGCCUGGCCGCGGCGGCGGCCGGAGGUGGGAGAAGAAGUGGUGAGGGGGAGAGAGAUGGAGAUGCCAGCUCCCUUUGGGAAUGGAGGCUGCUAGGGAUUUUGAUCCCCUCCGAUCAGAUCUGAAUGUUUUCACUUUGGCCCUCCUUCUUCCUUCUUUUGGCACAAGAUGAUCCCUCAACUCCUUAAGCUAGCCCCCCUAAGCUUUAAUCUUCUUCAAGCUUGAGUCCCUCUUUCUUCUCUUCUUGCCCGUGAUCUUGUUCCUCAAUUCUUUCUAGACAGGAACUUGUAGAUUAUAGUGCCUUGUCGCACUUUUCUGCAAAAGAAACACAAUGACUAGUAAAUGAUUCAUUAUAUGAUUUCCAUGCAAAUAUUCAAUAUUUCACAUCAAGAAUUAAUGGUCAUAUCUCAAUAAACCGCAUAUUUGAGUGCCAAAAGAUGUAUAUGAAAUGUGCUUAUCAAGUUCCCCACACUCAAAUCUUUGCUUGUCCUCAAGCAAAGGCAUAUGACAAAAGCAAGAACAUGAACAGUGAACUGACUAGAGAAUGUCAAGUGAAGUAGAUCUCUAAACAGUGCAUGCUUUGGACUUGGCUAGUGAAAAUUAAUGGUUAAGAGUGCUACAUAUCAAUAGGACACUAGUAAACUCGACCAUUUUAAACUUUUGCAAUGAUAAACGAAGAUUAGCAAGUUCAAAUGCUGAUUGUGCCAAAGGGUUCCUAAAGAGAGCAUGAUCCCAAAAAAAACUUAUUACCAGGAACAUAACAUUAUGGUAGAAGCACUUAUUGAAUUUUAAGGAAGUAAUGGUAAUAUUUUAUUGAUCUCACCAAUGGAACAUACCACCGAUCCCGAGAACAUGGUAUACACCCGGCUUGGCCAAUUAUUAGUUUUUUUUAGUUUGUCUCCCCAAAGGAACAUACCACCGAUCCCGAGAACAUGGUAUACACCUUGUUCGACAAUUACAUUUCUAUAAUUAUUAAUUACUGCCCAAGCUAACCUGAUUUCACAUGCCACCGAUCCCGGGAACAUGACAUGCUACUGUAGGUAGCCAGACUUAUUUAUUCAUUAUUACUUAUCUUAAAUGAACAACACAUAAGAACAAAAACAGGAAUCAUCACUUCUCCAUGUCUGGUUCACAUGCUACCGAUCCAGGGAACAUAGCAUGCUAAUCCAUAGUGGUUAGGUGAUUGCUCUCAAUGGGAAGACACUUGGCACAAAUUCAGCAUCUAAACAUGGUGAUCUAGGUGUAUCAUAGUAAAUGCAGAAAAUGACGAAGUUUUCUAGUGUACUAGGGAUUUGAGCACUCAAAACUAGUAGUUCUCACUAAUUUUAGCAAAGCAUGCAUGGUGUAGAUCACUAGUUUACAAGGCAUCCAAAAAUCAAGUUCACAAAUUCACAUCAAGCACAAUGCCAAAGGUGAGAUUCAGCUUGACAACAAGUAAUAACUGGCUCAAGCAACCCAACUAGCAAUUGAAUUCAGCAUGUAUUUAUGAUAUUCAGAAUGGGUCAUGAAACAGCUCACCGGGCUUAAUGAAGUAGCACUCGCUUGAUCACCUCACCAACUGCAGCUCUUCUCCUUUUCCUUCCUUAUGGAUGCUCCAGCUUCACUCUUCUUCGUGUGUGCCCCAUUGCUUCUCCUCAUCGCCAUGCUCUGACUCCACCAGGAUCCCAAGGAAUGUCACCUCAAACCUGGUCAGCAUGUAGUAAACAGUGCAGUAGCAAAAGCCUGAAAUAGGACUCACACAAACAACUAUAAGUGAUACGGUCGAUGCCCUCCAAGUCAUCAAUGGUAUAUCCAAUUAUAUAAGCAUAACUAUAAAGCACAUGUUUAGGAUGGCAGAAAUCAGCAUGGUCAAUACUCACACGAGGAUGACAUUUAUCAUUAAGCUCAAGACUAGCAUGGAAAUGAUGUGUUUCAUUAAGCAUAGGACUAGCACGAGGAAAGUAACUAUGAUCAUCGCAAAUGAGAGUAAUGCCACUAACAGGGUAUAUAUCAUCAUAUCCAAGCAAAUGAGUUUUCAAAUCAAUCUUAAGUGAUGGUAUCAUGUAAUGCAAGGUGGUAGCAAAGAAAUCACAAGGCAUCAUGUCAUCAAGAGGAUUGAGUAAACCUGACACAUCACGCUCUGGUAUGACAAUAGGCAAAUGAAUCUCAUGUUCUUCAUCUUCAUCUACAGCAGCUUCUUGUACUUCUUCAGGAGUAAUAGAUGAUGAGUCUUCAACUUGAUCACUUGGGAAUUGCAGCUCUUGACCAUCUUGUUCCUUGUCUUCUAGUUCAUCUUCUUCAAUCUGAGGUAUCUCUUGCUCAAGGCACUUGCUAUCUUGCUCAACGAAAUGUGAAGGUGCUGGAACCUCACAUGUAACCAUGGAUAUCUCAGCCACACUCAACUCAAGUUGUGAAGAAAUAGUGCUGCCAGCGUUGAUGUUCUUCUCAAUCUUCCUUACUUCUUCCACUAGCUCUUUUCCACUCUUGAUCUUCUUCAUUUCAUCUAGUAUAACCUUCCUAAUAGGAUCAUCCUCGGCACUCCAACUAAACUCGAGACUAAGCAAUGUGAUCUUUCUAUAUCAUCAAAUUCAUCUUGUGUGGGCACUUGCACAUGAGAUUGCUCGAAAGGUGCUGGAGUUGUUGGUUGACCAAAUGGAGGACCAUUUAACUCCAUUGGACACAUCUCCUGGUAUUGAGGUAUAUGAGUAGGAGGUGAAUAAAUCUAUUGUGGAGCAUAGUUGUGGUUCUCCUCAUUGUACCUGAAUCCCUGCAUUGGAUAACUAGAGGCAAACGAUGAGAUCUCAGGGUUAUUGCUCCUAUAUGACAUAUUCUGGUUUUUAGACCACCCAUGUGUGUAAUUGUUUUGGUAUGAGUUAGGCAGUGGGGCGAAGCUCAUGCCAUAACAAUCGGGAGGAUGGGAGUAACCACACUGACAUUCAGCGGGCGAAUGGCCCUGAAAUCCACAAAUAUGGCAGGUAGGAGCAACAUAAGGAUGGCCUCUGGAAUUAGGAUUGUAAGAACUAGGCCUAUCCUCAAAAACUCCUUCUUGCUGUCGAGCUAAAUCAUCUAAUCGAUGGGAAAUCUUACCUAUCAGUUCUUAAACACUUUCCGUGUUGUUUGUAGUGUUGCUCGCAUAAGCCUGAUGAUCUGAAUAGUAAGCCAUAACCGAGAGGAUAAUCCAACCUGCAAAAAGGAAAAGAAGACAAAAAGAUACUAACUAGAACAGGGGUUAGUGGCUAGAGAUAUAUCACAAAUAUAUAAAGCACAAAAAGGAAACAAGCUAAACCUAGUCUAAAGCCUAGCACAAUCGCUCGAUGCUAGUCCCCGGCAACGGUGCCAAAAUGAUCAGUUGAAAGUACAGUGGGGUUUUUACGCCCAAACUGCGAGUGUCGUGUUCUCCUCAGGGACUAGGCGACGACGACUAUGCUCGACUAAAGCUAGGUGACAGAAUACAAAUGAUGAUUGCAAGGAAAUAAACCUAAACUAAACAUGGUAGUUCCUAAAGAUCAUCGCCAAAGAAAAUGCAAAAUAAGCAAAGAGAUAUUCAGAUUUUCUAUACUCUCUUUUUGGCAAUUUCCAUAUUACUCAAAGAAUUUAAUGCUAACACAAGAAAACAUACGGCUAGGAAAUUAAAAAGACAAGAACAUAUAUAUAACUAUCUAACAUGAACAGUGGGAAGAAACAAGAACUUGAGCUAAUACAUGGACUACAAAACUGAAUAUAUUUCUGCAGAAAAGGGAAGACACUGUGACGACACAUACAUGAACUGGAAUUACGUAAAUUCAGUGCAAGUGACAAGCAUACAUGUACCACACGGUUGACAAAUAUAACAUUCACGAACUUAUUUUAUAUAGAUGCAUGAACUAGUCAGAUCCCAGCAAACAGCUGUUUACAUGUACUCUUCAAAUCUGAACCUUACAAGUCUUGAACAUCUCUCAAUACUAUAGAAUUUCAGAGAGAGAGAGAGAGAGAAGGCAACAGCAGGAGGUUGAGAGAGAAGAAGCAGUAGCAGGGGGCGUUGAGAGGAGGGAGAAGGAGCAGCGGGGCAAAGGAAGAUGGAGUAGCAGCAACGACUUGGAGUUUGGAGAUGGAGAAGGAGCAGAACAACAGCGUGGUAGGGGAAAGUAGAAGAGCAGCAGCAAUAGGGAUUCAGAGAGGAGGCGAGCUUGGAGAAGGAUAGCAGCAGGGAGAGUUGUAGAUGAGCAGCAGCAGUAGCGCGGGGGAGAAGGAGCAGCAGACAGGGAUUCAGAGAAGCGAGGAAGAAGGGAAGAAGAAGCAGCGGCGGUGUGUCUGGCCGGGCACGCCAGCUGGAGGGAGAGGUCGCGCGAGGUGGGCACUGGUGGUUGGCGCUGUGAUGGAUGGAUGAUGGUGUGGGUGGUGGAUGGCGCGGGUGAUGGUGGAGCAACGAGGUCGCCGAAGCGCGUCGCCACGAUGGCCUGGCCGCGGCGGCGGCCGGAGGUGGGAGAAGAAGUGGUGAGGGGGAGAGAGAUGGAGAUGCCAGCUCCCUUUGGGAAUGGAGGCUGCUAGGGAUUUUGAUCCCCUCCGAUCAGAUCUGAAUGUUUUCACUUUGGCCCUCCUCCU